UAAGUGAGCGACACCACAUACAGUACUCCAGGAGCACAGGAUGAGCUCCUCCUGUGCUCCUCUCACUGAUCACCAAUGAAAGAGGUGCCCCUUCCAGAAGUGCAGUGGGGGCCAGAUAAAUGGCCUCAGGGGGCCACAUGUGGCCAUAGUUUGGGGACCCCUGCUUUAUACCACCUAACUAUCUCUGCUCUUACUUGGUCCUUAGAACUACAAUGUAAGGAGGAUAAACAUUAUUCUGCAGUCAUUCGUCAUUUACUCCUUAGUGGGAAAGAAGAAAUGAAAAUAAGUUUGAAGGUGAUAAGAAGAGAACCUGAGAAUCCUGGGUAUUUGGAAUGAGAAAAGAGCAGAAUCAUAGGGAAGAGAAGAUAAAUAGGAGACUGGAAAUCCAAAAUAAAUUACCUAAUUGACAA
Monodelphis domestica (gray short-tailed opossum) is the source of this 410-nucleotide long non-coding RNA. RefSeq lists it as uncharacterized. Lineage: Eukaryota; Metazoa; Chordata; Mammalia; Didelphimorphia; Didelphidae. The record is from RefSeq and is a predicted model, not a curated record.